RNAcentral lists this ribosomal RNA (301 nucleotides) under uncultured bacterium. RNAcentral describes it as "partial 16S ribosomal RNA". It matches the Rfam family "Bacterial small subunit ribosomal RNA", at positions 509 to 807 of the family's 1533-position model. The record is from RNAcentral.
CAGUCGCCACGGGAAUACGAAGGGUGCAAGCGUUACUCGGAAUUACUGGGCGUAAAGCGUGCGUAGGUGGUGGUUUAAGUCCGUUGUGAAAGCCCUGGGCUCAACCUGGGAAUUGCAGUGGAUACUGGGUCACUAGAGUGUGGUAGAGGAUAGUGGAAUUUCCGGUGUAGCAGUGAAAUGCGUAGAGAUCGGAAGGAACAUCAGUGGCGAAGGCGACCACCUGGACUGAUACUGACACUGAGGUGCGAAAGCGUGGGGAGCAAACAGGAUUAGAGACCCCCGUAGUCCCUGUCUCUUAUAC